UGAUGGACUUCUACUUGGAAA
This is a non-coding RNA of Caenorhabditis elegans, 21 nucleotides long. The record is from Ensembl. NCBI's taxonomy places the organism in Eukaryota, Metazoa, Nematoda, Chromadorea, Rhabditida, Rhabditidae.